Etheostoma cragini (Arkansas darter) is the source of this 375-nucleotide long non-coding RNA. RefSeq lists it as uncharacterized. The transcript is spliced from 3 exons. The record is from RefSeq and is a predicted model, not a curated record. Lineage: Eukaryota; Metazoa; Chordata; Actinopteri; Perciformes; Percidae.
UUGUGUGUGUGUCUCUCUCUGAUGGUUGUGUGUUUAUGUUUCAGACAUUAAUGAGUUGAACCUGCCAAAGACGUGUGAGAUCAACUUCCCCGACGACGAUGACCUCCUCAACUUCAGACUCAUCAUCUCACCAGACGAGGGAUUUUACAAAGGAGGGAAAUUUGUCUUCAGCUUUAAGGUAGGACAGGGUUACCCCCACGACCCCCCCAAGGUAAAGUGUGAGACGAUGGUGUACCACCCCAACAUCGACCUGGAAGGAAACGUCUGCCUAAAUAUCUUAAGGUGUGUAAUGGAAGACAUAAUGGAACUGGGACCCGCCACCAGAGAUCAGACGAUAAUGGGCCGAUAACUAGCUAAUAAUGGGCCGAUAACUAG